CAGCAUCUCUUGCCAUCUCGCCUCUCUUCCCAGUUCAACAGUGUUGGACAACUCGAGAAAUUCAGGUUGGCCAGGAAGGCUACAGAAGCCGACCCUGGAUGACUUAAAUAAAAAAAGAAGAGUGAAUUGAAUGAAUGCGUCAAUUCACAGUCAUGAUGGCAAAACCGAAGAACAGGUUGAGAGGAUGGUCGGAGCCAUGGGAGAGAAAGGCGGUCAGAAUCACAACACAAAUCAGACCACAGUGCAGCCUGAGACAUCAGAAAGAAUCUCUACUGCUCUCGCUUCUCUGUCGCCGCCUCCAGAGUCAAAGCCCCAGGGGAAACAGCCAACUGGCCCCAGUUCCCAUGAAGUGAGGAGGAGCUGGUGUCUGAGCUGAGUCCUAACCGGUCGAGAGGUUUUUCCAUCAGACCUGUCUGUGCUUUUCAAACCGUGCUCUUAAAGUCCCACAUUUUCAAGAUGAAGCUGUGGGGUCUUCCAUGAAGCCGGGAAGAAGAAGUU
This 498-nucleotide long non-coding RNA is filed under the name Sus scrofa (pig). RNAcentral's name for it is "lncRNA (ENSSSCG00055013669.1)". Lineage: Eukaryota; Metazoa; Chordata; Mammalia; Artiodactyla; Suidae. The record is from RNAcentral.